CCCUUAGAUGUUCUGGGCUGCACGCGUGCUACACUGAUAUUGCCAAUAUGUCAUUCUUAUCCGAAAUGGAUUGGGUAAUCAAGUAAUGAAAUUUCACGCUUGGAAUCGGUAAUUGCAAUUUUAUCGUGAACGAGGAAUUCCUAGUAAGCACUAGUCAUCAGCUAAUGUUGAUUAUGUCCCUGCCCUUUGUACACACCGCCCGUCGCUACUACUGAUUGGGUGUUCAAGUGAGAUGCUUAGACCCUUGUUGCAUGGUUCAUUAUUGUGCUCCGAAAGGAAAAAGUUUCAAGCUUGAGUGUCUAGAGGAAGUAAAAGUCGUAACA
RNAcentral lists this ribosomal RNA (323 nucleotides) under uncultured eukaryote. Its description in RNAcentral is "partial 18S ribosomal RNA". It matches the Rfam family "Eukaryotic small subunit ribosomal RNA", at positions 1470 to 1796 of the family's 1831-position model. The record is from RNAcentral.